RNAcentral lists this ribosomal RNA (253 nucleotides) under uncultured bacterium. Its description in RNAcentral is "partial 16S ribosomal RNA". It matches the Rfam family "Bacterial small subunit ribosomal RNA", at positions 524 to 776 of the family's 1533-position model. The record is from RNAcentral.
UACGAAGGGGGCUAGCGUUGCUCGGAAUCACUGGGCGUAAAGCGCACGUAGGCGGACUCUUAAAUCAGGGGUGAAAUCCUGGAGCUCAACUCCAGAACUGCCUUUGAUACUGGGAGUCUUGAGUUCGGGAGAGGUGAGUGGAACUGCGAGUGUAGAGGUGAAAUUCGUAGAUAUUCGCAAGAACACCAGUGGCGAAGGCGGCUCACUGGCCCGAUACUGACGCUGAGGUGCGAAAGCGUGGGGAGCAAACAGG